Molecule: ribosomal RNA, 686 nt
Filed under: uncultured bacterium
Lineage: Bacteria
Description: bacterial SSU rRNA
Rfam family: Bacterial small subunit ribosomal RNA
Source: RNAcentral
AGAGUUUGAUCCUGGCUCAGGACGAACGCUGGCGGCGUGCUUAAUACAUGCAAGUCAACUGAACUUAAGAUAGCAAUAUUUUAAGGGAGGUGGCGCACGGGUGAGUAACACGUAGGUAAUCUGCCUUUAGGUCUGACACAACCCCGAGAAAUCGGGGCUAAUAUCAGAUGAUGCAGCGGCUCGACAUCGAGACAGUUGUUAAACCUUCGGGGCCUAAAGAUGAGCCUGCGUCUGAUUAGGUAGUUGGCGGAGUAAAAGCCCACCAAGCCUGCGAUCAGUAGCUGGUCUGAGAGGAUGAUCAGCCACACUGGAACUGAGACACGGCCCAGACUCCUACGGGAGGCAGCAGUGGGGAAUUUUGGACAAUGGGCGCAAGCCUGAUCCAGCAAUGCCGCGUGUGUGAAGAAGGCCUUCGGGUUGUAAAGCACUUUUGGCGGGAGCGAAACGGCGUUUGCUAAUACCAGACGCUAAUGACGGUACCCGCAGAAUAAGCACCGGCUAACUACGUGCCAGCAGCCGCGGUAAGACGUAGGGUGCGAGCGUUAAUCGGAAUUACUGGGCGUAAAGCGUGCGCAGGCGGCUUUGUAAGACAGGUGUGAAAUCCCCGGGCUUAACCUGGGAACUGCACUUGUGACUGCAAGGCUAGAGUGUGUCAGAAGGGAGGUGGAAUUCCGCGUGUAGCAGUG